This 3007-nucleotide ribosomal RNA is filed under the name Yersinia enterocolitica. RNAcentral's name for it is "23S ribosomal RNA". It matches the Rfam family "Bacterial large subunit ribosomal RNA". Lineage: Bacteria; Pseudomonadati; Pseudomonadota; Gammaproteobacteria; Enterobacterales; Yersiniaceae. The record is from RNAcentral.
GGUUAAGCGACUAAGCGUACACGGUGGAUGCCUAGGCAGUCAGAGGCGAUGAAGGGCGUGCUAAUCUGCGAAAAGCGUCGGUAAGGUGAUAUGAACCGUUAUAACCGACGAUACCCGAAUGGGGAAACCCAGUGCAAUUCGUUGCACUAUUGCAUGGUGAAUACAUAGCCAUGCAAGGCGAACCGGGGGAACUGAAACAUCUAAGUACCCCGAGGAAAAGAAAUCAACCGAGAUUCCCCCAGUAGCGGCGAGCGAACGGGGAGGAGCCCAGAACCUGAAUCAGCGUAUGUGUUAGUGGAAGCGUCUGGAAAGUCGCACGGUACAGGGUGAUAGUCCCGUACACAAAAAUGCAUAUGUUGUGAGUUCGAUGAGUAGGGCGGGACACGUGACAUCCUGUCUGAAUAUGGGGGGACCAUCCUCCAAGGCUAAAUACUCCUGACUGACCGAUAGUGAACCAGUACCGUGAGGGAAAGGCGAAAAGAACCCCGGCGAGGGGAGUGAAACAGAACCUGAAACCGUGUACGUACAAGCAGUGGGAGCACCUUCGUGGUGUGACUGCGUACCUUUUGUAUAAUGGGUCAGCGACUUAUAUUUUGUAGCAAGGUUAACCGAAUAGGGGAGCCGUAGGGAAACCGAGUCUUAACUGGGCGUCUAGUUGCAAGGUAUAGACCCGAAACCCGGUGAUCUAGCCAUGGGCAGGUUGAAGGUUGGGUAACACUAACUGGAGGACCGAACCGACUAAUGUUGAAAAAUUAGCGGAUGACUUGUGGCUGGGGGUGAAAGGCCAAUCAAACCGGGAGAUAGCUGGUUCUCCCCGAAAGCUAUUUAGGUAGCGCCUCGUGAACUCAUCUUCGGGGGUAGAGCACUGUUUCGGCUAGGGGGUCAUCCCGACUUACCAAACCGAUGCAAACUCCGAAUACCGAAGAAUGUUAUCACGGGAGACACACGGCGGGUGCUAACGUCCGUCGUGAAGAGGGAAACAACCCAGACCGCCAGCUAAGGUCCCAAAGUCAUGGUUAAGUGGGAAACGAUGUGGGAAGGCACAGACAGCCAGGAUGUUGGCUUAGAAGCAGCCAUCAUUUAAAGAAAGCGUAAUAGCUCACUGGUCGAGUCGGCCUGCGCGGAAGAUGUAACGGGGCUAAACCAUGCACCGAAGCUGCGGCAGCGAACGUAUCACUUAAAACGCUUAACGUGACGGCAAAGCCGGCAUGUUCAAGCCACAUUAAACGUUGAGUUGGCCGAUGUGCUGACAAACGAACAGGCGUUUUAAGGAUACGUUCGUUGGGUAGGGGAGCGUUCUGUAAGCCGUUGAAGGUGGCCUGUGAGGGCUGCUGGAGGUAUCAGAAGUGCGAAUGCUGACAUAAGUAACGAUAAUGCGGGUGAAAAACCCGCACGCCGGAAGACCAAGGGUUCCUGUCCAACGUUAAUCGGGGCAGGGUGAGUCGACCCCUAAGGCGAGGCUGAAAAGCGUAGUCGAUGGGAAACAGGUUAAUAUUCCUGUACUUGGUGUUACUGCGAAGGGGGGACGGAGAAGGCUAGGCUAGCCGGGCGACGGUUGUCCCGGUUUAAGCAUGUAGGCGGAGUGACCAGGUAAAUCCGGUUGCUUAUCAACGCUGAGGUGUGAUGACGAUGCACUACGGUGCAGAAGUAGUUGAUGCCAUGCUUCCAGGAAAAGCCUCUAAGCAUCAGGUAACACGAAAUCGUACCCCAAACCGACACAGGUGGUCAGGUAGAGAAUACUCAGGCGCUUGAGAGAACUCGGGUGAAGGAACUAGGCAAAAUGGUGCCGUAACUUCGGGAGAAGGCACGCUGGCGCUAGGUGAAGAGACUUGCUCUCGGAGCUGAAGCCAGUCGCAGAUACCAGCUGGCUGCAACUGUUUAAUAAAAACACAGCACUGUGCAAACACGAAAGUGGACGUAUACGGUGUGACGCCUGCCCGGUGCUGGAAGGUUAAUUGAUGGGGUCAGCCGCAAGGCGAAGCUCUUGAUCGAAGCCCCAGUAAACGGCGGCCGUAACUAUAACGGUCCUAAGGUAGCGAAAUUCCUUGUCGGGUAAGUUCCGACCUGCACGAAUGGCGUAAUGAUGGCCAGGCUGUCUCCACCCGAGACUCAGUGAAAUUGAACUCGCUGUGAAGAUGCAGUGUACCCGCGGCAAGACGGAAAGACCCCGUGAACCUUUACUAUAGCUUGACACUGAACAUUGAGCCUUGAUGUGUAGGAUAGGUGGGAGGCAUGGAAGUGUGGACGCCAGUCUGCAUGGAGCCAACCUUGAAAUACCACCCUUUAAUGUUUGAUGUUCUAACUCGGCCCCGUAAUCCGGGGUGAGGACAGUGUCUGGUGGGUAGUUUGACUGGGGCGGUCUCCUCCCAAAGAGUAACGGAGGAGCACGAAGGUUAGCUAAUCACGGUCGGACAUCGUGAGGUUAGUGCAAAGGCAUAAGCUAGCUUGACUGCGAGAGUGACGGCUCGAGCAGGUACGAAAGUAGGUCUUAGUGAUCCGGUGGUUCUGAAUGGAAGGGCCAUCGCUCAACGGAUAAAAGGUACUCCGGGGAUAACAGGCUGAUACCGCCCAAGAGUUCAUAUCGACGGCGGUGUUUGGCACCUCGAUGUCGGCUCAUCACAUCCUGGGGCUGAAGUAGGUCCCAAGGGUAUGGCUGUUCGCCAUUUAAAGUGGUACGCGAGCUGGGUUUAGAACGUCGUGAGACAGUUCGGUCCCUAUCUGCCGUGGGCGUUGGAAGAUUGAGAGGGGCUGCUCCUAGUACGAGAGGACCGGAGUGGACGAAUCACUGGUGUUCGGGUUGUCAUGCCAAUGGCAUUGCCCGGUAGCUAAAUUCGGAAGAGAUAACCGCUGAAAGCAUCUAAGCGGGAAACUUGCCUCGAGAUGAGUCUUCCCUGGGGCUUCAAGCCCCCUGAAGGAACGUUAAAGACGAUGACGUUGAUAGGCUGGGUGUGUAAGUGCAGCGAUGCAUUGAGCUAACCAGUACUAAUGAACCGUGAGGCUUAACCUU